RNAcentral lists this ribosomal RNA (460 nucleotides) under uncultured bacterium. RNAcentral's name for it is "partial 16S ribosomal RNA". It matches the Rfam family "Bacterial small subunit ribosomal RNA", at positions 338 to 795 of the family's 1533-position model. The record is from RNAcentral.
CCUACGGGAGGCAGCAGUGAGGAAUAUUGGUCAAUGGCCGGAAGGCUGAACCAGCCAUGCCGCGUGAAGGUCAGUGCCCUAUGGGCGUUAAACUUCUUUUGUGCGGGAGCAAUAAUGGUCACGUGUGGCCAGACGAGAGUACCGUACGAAUAAGCAUCGGCUAACUACGUGCCAGCAGCCGCGGUAAUACGGGGGGUGCAAGCGUUAUCCGGAUUUAUUGGGUUUAAAGGGUGCGUAGGCUGUGAGGUAAGUCAGCGGUGAAAUGCCCCCGCUCAACGGGGUGAAGUGCCAUUGAUACUGCCGUGCUGGAAUGCGGAUGCCGUGGGAGGAAUGUGUGGUGUAGCGGUGAAAUGCAUAGAUAUCACACAGAACACCGAGUGCGAAGGCAUCUCACGAAUCCGCGAUUGACGCUGAUGCACGAAAGCGUGGGUAUCAAACAGGAUUAGAUACCCGAGUAGUC